Long non-coding RNA from Tympanuchus pallidicinctus (lesser prairie-chicken), 1292 nucleotides. RefSeq lists it as uncharacterized. The record is from RefSeq and is a predicted model, not a curated record. Lineage: Eukaryota; Metazoa; Chordata; Aves; Galliformes; Phasianidae. The transcript is spliced from 2 exons.
CAGCUCUCUGCCUGUGCUGUCAGCAGUCGGUUCUGCCCUUAGCGUGCCUCCCUCUGCUCGCUGCAGCAGGCCUUGAGCAGAAAACACAAAUCAAGGCUCGUCAGCGUCUGUCGUGCUGAAUAACCUCCUUAGAGACCAUCGCUUUUGUUGCUUAUAAAUGGCUGGACUGAACUUAGAUACUUUUCUUUGUACAAUUCAAACGCAAGAUGUUUUGUGUUGAUGUUGUGGUUCGAUAGCAAAAGGGAAAUUGGUCAUAAAAAGAGAAUAAAGCAAUUACAGUCUGACCUCAGCAUUCACAUAGCUGUUAAGGUAAGUUGUAGCGUAGUGCUAGUUUUGGUUUGCAUUAGAACGUGUUUAUGGCAGUAAUGCUAUCGGGACAAUGGCAGUGCUCUUAUGGGUGGUUUAGGGCAGCAGACUGGUGUCUGCAACCUUUUCCUUGUGGCAGUAAGGAUGCAGUUUGCACAGUGUAUGCGAAAUUGUAGAGCAGCUUCCAAUUGCUGGUAGCCCAGCAGGGUCAGAAAAGCAUCCCGUCUGUGACUUCAUAACUUCAGUGUCUUUGACCCCUCUGGGAGGCGGAGGCUCGGUGUUCCCGGAGCAGCAGGUAGCGGCCUCUGAAUGAGGUGAAUGAAUGGCCUCCUGUGAUGGGGCAGAUCAUUCAUUUCUGAGCUUUUGUCCACCUUGAGAAAAGGAAGAUCAGCCCUUUGUGCAAGUACUGCUCCAUCGCAUCACCUUUCUUGUAGCUGCAGCUGGAAACCAGCAUCUCAGCACGUGUAAAUGUGUUGUGCUGCAAUGCCAUUUGUGCUUCAGGAGAAGAGCAGAAAUGUUUCAGGAUUUUAGAUGAUGUUCCACAAAAUUCUAGACUCCGAGCUAAAUAGCUGUGCUGGAGAUGGAGCAGCUGCUCGAGGUUUGGGAAGAGGUGCACUUCUGUGUCCUGGUGCUUCUGCUGGUUGAGUGACUUCACAUCUAUCCUGGGACAUGAUGACAGGUCAGCCUCUGUAGCGUGGCUCUCUGAAGGCACUCCAACCAGCAGCAGCUGAUUGCAUUGGAAAACUUUGGCCUCCUGCAGCUGGCAUGCCUGCUGUUCCCUGGUCUGAGGCAGCCCAUAACGUCACUGAAGUGACUGUGCUGAAACUUCACAAGCGUUGCCUGUUUGUCUCACCUGAUCAGAAUCAGAUUUAGUGCCACGUUCACACAGUUGCAUUAUUUAGUUGUAUUUCCUUGGUCAGACUGCGCAGGGAUCAGCAAAGGCUUUGGCUGGCAGUGAUGUUUUGCUAAUAAAGACGUCUUUUCAC